RNAcentral lists this ribosomal RNA (1659 nucleotides) under Triticum aestivum (bread wheat). Its description in RNAcentral is "partial small subunit ribosomal RNA". The record is from RNAcentral. Lineage: Eukaryota; Viridiplantae; Streptophyta; Magnoliopsida; Poales; Poaceae.
AUGCUGUCCAAGGCCAGCGAGGCCGGUCAUGUUAAGGGACUCGUCCCACACCUCAUCCUAGGUGGUGUGACUCAUUUACAAUAUGCUGACGAUACCUUGCUUCUGUUUAAGCCCGACGACCAUAGUAUCGCUUCGAUUAAGCUUUUGUUACUUGCCUUUGAGAUCCUAUCCGGACUCAAAAUGAAUUUUCUUAAAAGCGAGGUCAUUACCAUGGGGAUGGACGACCAUCAAAGCUUUCGAGUCGCAAAUCUACUUAAUUGUAAGCUUGGGAGCUUUCCAAUUAAGUAUCUGGGGCUUCCUAUAUCUCACCGCAAACUCUCGAUUUUAGAGUGGGAGCCUCUGUAUGGGAAAGUGGCCAAUAGGGUAAGCCCGUGGCGAGGGCGGUUUAUGUCUUCUGCGGCGAGGCUCAUUUUAACUAACUCGAGCCUCUCUUCCCUUCCCCUAUUCACUAUGGGGAUGUUCUUACUAGCCGAUGGCGUGCACGCUAAGCUAGACACACCGCGAUCCCGGUUCUUUUGGGAAGGAACUGGCAUCAAGCGGAAAUAUCACCUGGUAAAGUGGGCGGCUGUUUGUAGGCCAAAAGAAUUUGGAGGAUUGGGAAUCCUAAACUCCAAACUAAUGAACGUCGCCCUCCUGUCCAAAUGGUGGUGGCGGCUUGCCCAAAACGAGAUGAGUCUCUGGGCCCAGCUGCUAAAAGCCAAGUAUUUCCUGAAUGGGAAUCCCUUCAGUGCCUCGGCCAACGGCUCCGUGUUUUGGAAAGGGAUCCAAGCGGUCCGGCCCGCAUUUGCUAUUGGGGCCAAAUUUCAGAUUAACAAUGGACAAUCCACUCGGUUUUGGCUGGACCAUUGGUUGGGCGCCUCUCCCCUUUGGCAAAGUCACCCCAACUUAUUUCGGAUCGCCACUAAUAUCAACAUCUUAGUGGGAGAGGCAGCUCGUACUGACCCUCCAGCGAUUCACUUCAUGCGGGUCCUUUCCAACGCCGAACGAGAGUCAUGGGACGAUCUAGUUCAUCAAAUUCGUGCCAACCAUAUAGGGACGGGUGAUGAUUUGGUAGAAUGGAGCUUGACAGCUUCCCGGAAAUUCUCGGUUAAGUCCUUAUACAACAAGCUUACUGAAGGGACAGCGCUUGAUAUAGCUAGGGGGCUGUGGAAGGCAGGCCUGCCCCUGAAGAUUAAAAUCUUCAUGUGGCAAAUGUUCAGGAAUAGGCUGCCCAUGUCGGAUAAUGUGGCCAAACGUAACGGUCCGGCUGAUGGUACUUGCACUGUGUGCGGUCUAGGUGAAGAUGCAAACCACGUUUUUUUUAGAUGCCACCUGGCCAAGUUCGCCUGGAGUGCAGUUAGGGAAGCUUUCCACUCAAACUGGAACCCAACCUCGGGGAAUGACUUGUUAUCCAUCCUCAAAUCCACGAGAGGGACCAGUAGUAGAAUCGCUUGGCGCUGUGUAGGGGCGCUACUCUGGGCUAUUUGGACGACGCGCAAUAAAAUUACGAUUGAGAAAAAAUUCCCUAACCACCCCGCGGAUGUGAUCUUCAAAUGCCAUCUUUUUUUACAGACGUGGACUCCGCUGUGGAAGGAGCGCGAUGCUGAGCGCAUGUCGGAGGCCAUGGCGCGCAUCAAGACUAUCCAGGUGAUGGCUAGACAAGACCCGCCGAGCCGAUGA